Molecule: long non-coding RNA, 1060 nt
Organism: Oncorhynchus tshawytscha (Chinook salmon)
Lineage: Eukaryota; Metazoa; Chordata; Actinopteri; Salmoniformes; Salmonidae
Source: Ensembl
UGGAGGGGGAGAUGGUGGAGGGUUUUAAGUAGUGCCCUGGUCUAAAGUAGUGCCCUGCAUAGGGAAUAGGGUGCCAUAGAGCCCUGGUCUAAAGUAGUGCCCUGCAUAGGGAAUAGGGUGUCAUAGAGCCCUGGUCUAAAGUAGUGCCCUGAUUAGGGUGCCAUAGAGCCCUGGUCUAAAGUAGUGCCCUGCAUAGGGAAUAGGGUGUCAUAGAGCCCUGGUCUAAAGUAGUGCCCUGCAUAGGGAAUAGGGUGUCAUAGAGCCCUGGUCUAAAGUAGUGCCCUGAUUAGGGUGUCAUAGAGCCCUGGUCUAAAGUAGUGCCCUGCAUAGGGAAUAGGGUGUCAUAGAGCCCUGGUCUAAAGUAGUGCCCUGAUUAGGUGUCAUAGAGCCCUGGUCUAAAGUAGUGCCCUGCAUAGGGAAUAGGGUGUCAUAGAGCCCUGGUCUAAAGUAGAGCACUGGUCUAAAGUAGUGCCCUGCAUAGGGAAUAGGGUGUCAUAGAGCCCUGGUCUAAAGUAGUGCCCUGCAUAGGGAAUAGGGUGCCUUUGGGCCUUAGCCAUAGUUGGAUGAUGCGUGGGGAGGGCUGAGGUUAAGUUAAACAAAACAAAACUGUUUCCUUUCAGUAAAAGACGAAUAGUUUGUAGACUGCUGAGGUAUUUCCAUGUUUAGUGCUACAGUUAUAAUAAUUAGAUAAAUCUAAAGAUGAUAUGUUCUUCUGUAGAGCUGGCUUGAACACAUCUCCUCUCCGUUUUUGUUUCUACGGCGAUUGAUUGACCUCCAAACCCAAAGAUCCCACCCAUGUCACAUCGUGUGAGUGAUUCGAUUGGCUCCUCUCUAAAGCUGCACAUGGUUGUUGGCAUUCCCUUCAACCAAUCAGAAGAGGCUUGAGUACCCCCCCCUCCCCUCCCCCCCUCCACUCCCUUUGGAGGGCUUUGUACCAAAUAAUUAAGGACGGGGAUGGAUGGUUGAGUUUGUUGUUUUGGCCAAAUCAGCCACCAGAUGUAUUGGGAUAAUGAACUGUCGUUGACCCUUGACAUUUCUCUGCAUUCUAAAAUAACUUGAU